RNAcentral lists this ribosomal RNA (481 nucleotides) under uncultured bacterium. Its description in RNAcentral is "bacterial SSU rRNA". It matches the Rfam family "Bacterial small subunit ribosomal RNA", at positions 32 to 491 of the family's 1533-position model. The record is from RNAcentral.
AUCAACGCUGGCGGCGUGCCUAACACAUGCAAGUCGAACGCGAAAGCCCCGCAAGGGGUGAGUAGAGUGGCAAACGGGUGAGUAACACGUGGGUGAUCUGCCUCAGAGUGGGGGAUAACGACCCGAAAGGGUCGCUAAUACCGCAUAACAUCCUGCCUUUGGAUAGGUGGCGAUCAAAGUUGGGGAUCCGCAAGGACCUGACGCUUGGAGAGGAGCCCGCGGCCGAUUAGCAGUUGGUGAGGUAACGGCUCACCAAGGCAACGAUCGGUAUCCGGCCUGAGAGGGCGGACGGACACACUGGGACUGAGACACGGCCCAGACUCCUACGGAGGCAGCAGUGGGGAAUUGUUCGCAAUGGGCGCAAGCCUGACGACGCAACGCCGCGUGGAGACGAAGAUUUCGGAUCGUAAACUCCUUUCGAUCGGGAAGAACAGCUCCUGGGUUAAUAGCCUGAGAGUCUGACGGUACCGAGAGAAGAACG